CCAGGAUCCAGCUGUCUCCACAGCUCGCCCCUCCGGGACUUAUUACGAGGUGGAGAAAUGCAGGUCUGGGCCAGCGGAGACGUAGCAGGAUGAAGAGGUGGGUGAGGAGGGAGAGGGUGAAUGAGUGGGGUGAAGAUGGAGAGAGG
Ornithorhynchus anatinus (platypus) is the source of this 146-nucleotide non-coding RNA. NCBI's taxonomy places the organism in Eukaryota, Metazoa, Chordata, Mammalia, Monotremata, Ornithorhynchidae. The record is from RefSeq and is marked provisional.